Long non-coding RNA from Oncorhynchus gorbuscha (pink salmon), 2239 nucleotides. RefSeq lists it as uncharacterized. NCBI's taxonomy places the organism in Eukaryota, Metazoa, Chordata, Actinopteri, Salmoniformes, Salmonidae. The transcript has 6 exons. The record is from RefSeq and is a predicted model, not a curated record.
GAGAACAGAGAUCAUAAGACAGUAUGAUCCUCGUUAACAUGUGAGACAGACUUCAUAUGGAGGAUCAUCACAGACAAAGUGGCGGUCACUCAGUGAGACAUCAGGUACAGAUGUGAUUGGCAAUACAAGGAAACAGCAAAAUACCAGUUACAAUAUAUUGAGUCCAUACACAGAGUUGAAAGUGUAUAGAGAUACUGGAAUUCGGAAUCUAGCGUCAUAGCCGUAAGAAUACCGAUUACGGGAAAGUGACCAAGGGACUGAGCAUUUAAGGUGGGAGACUGGAUUAGGAUUAAGACCAGGAGCUGACACGGGGAAUAGAGUCCCAACAAAACAAAAACAAACAACAACAAAAAGACGGAAAAAGACGCCAGGGAAAUGAGGCUGGGAGAAUAUAGAACCAGGCAUAGGGAAUGCAAGGUGGGAUGGUUCUGGUGGGUGUGUUUAUACCAGGUACACCAGUGGCAUUACAAGAGAUGUUACCAUAACCGUCUACUGUGUGCCUCAUACCACCUAGGAACCUCCUAGACUGAUCAAUCCUGAAGUUACACAAUGAAGGUCACUGUUGACGUCCCAAUGUCCAAAGACCCAGAGGUUAAACUUCCCCUGGUUAUCCUCCUGGACAAAUGAAAAGCAGCUGAGAAUGGCAGAAAGAAUACAUCUUGACCAAAUGUCCUCCUAUAAGAUCCUGGUCCUGGUGGUUGAUGCCCGUAGGAUGUAAGACUAAAGCUGGUGGUCUGUGCCUGUAUCCAUUAAACAUCUCAGAACAGGAGUACUGACCUUUUAGAUCACUAUGGACAGGGAUUAUUAUGGACAGGGAGGACCCCAUCCUAGAUCAGCACUCCUACUAUGAGCUGCUUUGUGGAUACGGGCUCAGUUUCCUAUAAUCUCUGUUGUUUUGAAACACAGUCUGUCACUGUCACAAUGUCUGUAAUUAUGUUAUUUUGUCACAUAUAUCAGUUAUUUCCCAACUCUUGAAUUGAACUUAAUCUGUUUUUCCUCAUUUCUUCCUUAUGACACAAUUUCUGCUUUUCUCGGAUCUUUCAGUUACAGUAUAAGUUUGUUGAAGUCAUGUUUCCUGGUCUCCACUAGAUGGGGAUAUAGGUAAAGCUGUGUAAGAGCAGUGACAGAGCAGGGACUAGUGUAAUCUGAUUUAUUAUCUGAUGCUCAUUUUUCUUGUCAGCUAAGGAAAUGUGCCACUUGAUUUUUUAAGAAUAAUGUUUCAUUUUAAUCUUCAUUUUUUUCAUCCAAUCACUGGGAUUACAGUUUUUGUUGUUGAAAGAAUAGGGUAUGCUUGUGAUUAUUUAUGUUUCACUGUCUUCAAAGUUGAGUGUUCUUCACUCACUCACUCAUUCACUCACUAAUUUCUGGAAAAGUUGUCAUACAUGACUUUGUAACCCUAUAAUACAAUUGAUUUGAACAAAUCCAAUCAUGUCGAUAAGGCAUCUCUUUUCUACACAGUGAAAGGCCUGAUUGGCAUGUGGAUAUGGUCUGUGGUUCUUCAGAUGAUAUGAAUGCUUCCAGAUCGUUCUGUGGGUUUGAGAGUGAGGGGCCAAUCACCAGGGGACAGCAGGGUCGCUCUCUCCAGCCUGCUCUCAGAUAUCGUCCAUCCGCAGGGGGUACCUCCUUCAUCAAGGGUACUCUGAGCAGAGCAACAUGUGAUUAGCAUAACCAAAAAAGGUUGAGAACCACUGCGCUACAAUCUUAGAAAAAAGCGUUCCAAAAGGGCUAUUUGGCUGUCCCCAUAGGAGAACACUUUUUAGUUCCAGGUAGAACCCUUUUGAGUUCCAUGUAGAACCCUCUGUGGAAAGUGUUCUACAUGUGUUCUACAAAAGGGUUCUACCUGGAACCAAAAAGGGUUCUUCAAAGGGUUCUCCUAUGGAGACAGCCAAAGAACGAUUUUAAGGUUCUAGAAAUAGCAACUUUUUUUCUUUUUUUCUAAAUGUCUCAAAAGAGUGCAUGAUCACCCGUUUUUCAGCUGCUGAGGUUACAGCUGGGGGUCACAUCUUGGCUAAUGUUACUAGAGUUCAGACAGAUAUUUGAUACAUUUUCUUAGGAGACAAAAUCAUGCCCCCUGAAGUAAACUCAUUUUAGGUUUGGGAGUAUACAUCCAUCAAACAGGCAAGAGACUUAAAACAACCAUUGGACCAUAGAGUUAUUUUCUGUGAAAUGUCUAUGCUCUUCCUUGUCUACCAAUGCUUUCAGAUUUAAAAAUAAAGAAGAGAAAAAACAAAGGACCAGA